RNAcentral lists this ribosomal RNA (112 nucleotides) under Caerostris darwini. Lineage: Eukaryota; Metazoa; Arthropoda; Arachnida; Araneae; Araneidae. The record is from RNAcentral.
AACGGCUAUAUCAUGCUGAAUAUACCGGUUCUCGUUAGAUCACCGAAGUCAAGCAUCAUUGAGCGCGGUCAGUACUUGGGUGGGUGACCCCCUGGGAACAACGCGUGUCGUU